GAGUUUGAUCGUGGCUCAGGAUGAACGCUAGCGGCAGGCUUAACACAUGCAAGUCGAGGGGUAUAGUUUUUCGGAACUAGAGACCGGCGCACGGGUGCGUAACGCGUAUGCAACCUACCUUUUACUAGGGGGAGUAGCCCAGAGAAAUUUGGAUUAAUACCCCACUGGUAUACCACUAUCGCAUGGUAGUGUUAUUAAAGUUCCAACGGUAAAGAUGGGCAUGCGUCCCAUUAGCUAGAUGGUAAGGUAACGGCUUACCAUGGCUACGAUGGGUAGGGGUCCUGAGAGGGAGAUCCCCCACACUGGUACUGAGACACGGACCAGACUCCUACGGGAGGCAGCAGUGAGGAAUAUUGGUCAAUGGGCGCAAGCCUGAACCAGCCAUGCCGCGUGCAGGAUGACGGUCCUAUGGAUUGUAAGCUGCUUUUGUACGAGAAGAAACACUCCUUCGUGAAGGAGCUUGACGGUAUCGUAAGAAUAAGGAUCGGCUAACUCCGUGCCAGCC
RNAcentral lists this ribosomal RNA (505 nucleotides) under uncultured Flavobacterium sp. RNAcentral's name for it is "bacterial SSU rRNA". It matches the Rfam family "Bacterial small subunit ribosomal RNA", at positions 9 to 513 of the family's 1533-position model. Lineage: Bacteria; Pseudomonadati; Bacteroidota; Flavobacteriia; Flavobacteriales; Flavobacteriaceae. The record is from RNAcentral.